GCCUGAGUGGCUCAGUCAGUUGAGUGUCCGACUUCGGCUCAGGUCAUGAUCUUGCGGUUUGUGAGUUCAAGCCCCACCUCGGGCU
RNAcentral lists this transfer RNA (85 nucleotides) under Felis catus (domestic cat). It matches the Rfam family "tRNA". Rfam says of the family: Transfer RNA (tRNA) molecules are approximately 80 nucleotides in length. Their secondary structure includes four short double-helical elements and three loops (D, anti-codon, and T loops). Lineage: Eukaryota; Metazoa; Chordata; Mammalia; Carnivora; Felidae. The record is from Rfam by way of RNAcentral.